GAUGAACGCUGGCGGCGUGCCUAACACAUGCAAGUCGAACGGAAAGACCCUGCUCUUGUGCGGUUCUCGAUUGCCGAAGGCGUGAGUGUCACGCGUGUAUCCUCCCCUUGUCUUUCUGGGAACUUCACGUAACUGCGGCUAAUAUCGUAUAUGAUCUCCUGCACCAUAGUGGGCGUUGGAGAGUUUCGGCUGUUGGAGAUGGACUCGCGGCUUAUCAGCUAGUUGGUGGAGUAGUGGCUUACCAAGGCUUUGACGGGUAGCCUGCCUGAGAGGGGUACCGGCGACAAUGGGACUGAGAGAGGGACCAGAAGGGUACGGGAGGCAGCAGUGGAGAGUAUUGCACAAUGGGCGGAAGCCAGAGGCAGCAACGCCGGGUGCGGGAAGACGGCCUUCGGGUUAAGAACAGAUUUCGCCUGUGACGAAGUGUGAGUGACGGUAAUGAAUAAAGAAGCACCGGCUAACUACGUG
RNAcentral lists this ribosomal RNA (468 nucleotides) under uncultured bacterium. RNAcentral describes it as "partial 16S ribosomal RNA". It matches the Rfam family "Bacterial small subunit ribosomal RNA", at positions 28 to 507 of the family's 1533-position model. The record is from RNAcentral.